CGCAGCCGGGCCUCCACCAGCACCCAGCCGCCUCCAUUACUCUGUGCGCCGGCGCCGCUCUCCAUGGCCGGCCAGGACGCGCUCGCCCCGGGCUCCUGCGGCCUCAGCCCGGCUGCGACGCGGCGGACGCGCGGGGGGUGGUCUGUCUGAAUGUGAUCAGGUCUGACGGUGUCUGUGGAGCCAUCGGGGAGAGCUGACAUGCUAGCAUUUAUGUGGAUCUGUGGCUCCCAGAUGUGACCAGAUUAUGGUCUUACACUAUGAAAAGGUCCAGGACGAGCAGGUGACUGGAGCUGAGCCGAGCCUGUGACCAGAGAUCGCCACCUAGAGGAGGGAGCAGGAAUCACAAGGAGCAGGAAACUUACCCAGACGAUAAUAUUUUAGUUUCAACAAGUGGAAACACCUGACCCAUUCAGCCGCAGCUUGAUGACAGUUAAGACCCAAACUCAAGUUCAACAAACGUGCACACAUGAUUAUGAAUGAAUGUUUUUUUUAUAAAUAUUCCACCUCAAAAACACUUAAAAAAACUCAUUCAGAUUAAACCUAAACAUGUAAGCUUGAAUGUAACUAUUAAUUAAUAUAUAUAAACUCUGUGUGCAUAGAUUUAUUCUUAUGGUGGAUACUGACCUUAAAAACUGGUAAAAAUACCAUUAACGGGUCAGACUAAUAAUACAACAUUUAGAAGCACUUAUGUUUUGUUAACACAAGCAUAAAUAGCUCAAUAAUAUAACAAUAAUCACGCUGAUCCAUGAUCAUGUACUUAUGCUGCACCAUU
Betta splendens (Siamese fighting fish) is the source of this 772-nucleotide long non-coding RNA. RefSeq lists it as uncharacterized. The transcript has 3 exons. NCBI's taxonomy places the organism in Eukaryota, Metazoa, Chordata, Actinopteri, Anabantiformes, Osphronemidae. The record is from RefSeq and is a predicted model, not a curated record.